GAAUCAUCACCGCACCUGAACCUAACAACAUCUUUCACAGGAUUCUUGGCCACCUUAUCAUCAAAAUGUGCUUUACACACCUUGGCCCCACCUCUCAAAGAAUCAUUCUCUAUGUAAUUGACCCACAAAUCACGGUUUCCCUUAAAAAACCCAUUUUUACUGUUAUUGUGAUUCUCAUAACCAAUAUCAUUAUCGUGACUAUCACAUUCAUUCCCGUCACUACAACACACAAAGACCCAAAGCCUAGCAUGCUUACCGCACAACUCCAGCUUAUCAUACUCCUCGAUCAUGCACCUAACGU
This 301-nucleotide unclassified non-coding RNA is filed under the name Hevea brasiliensis (rubber tree). The record is from RNAcentral. Lineage: Eukaryota; Viridiplantae; Streptophyta; Magnoliopsida; Malpighiales; Euphorbiaceae.